RNAcentral lists this ribosomal RNA (406 nucleotides) under uncultured bacterium. Its description in RNAcentral is "partial 16S ribosomal RNA". It matches the Rfam family "Bacterial small subunit ribosomal RNA", at positions 30 to 526 of the family's 1533-position model. The record is from RNAcentral.
AUUGAACGCUGUCGGCAGGCCUAACACAUGCAAGUCGAGCGAGCGGCGGACGGGUGCGUAAUGUCUGGUAAACUGCCUGAUGGAGGGGGAUAACUACUGGAAACGGUAGCUACUACCGCAUACCAUCAGAUGUUCCCAGAUGGGAUUAGCUGUGAGGUGGGGUAACGGCUCACCUAGGCGACGAUCCCUAGCUGGUCUGAGAGGAUGACCAGCCACACUGGAACCGAGACACGGUCCAGACGCCUACGGGAGGCAGCAGUGGGGAAUAUUGCACAAUGGGCGCAAGCCUGAUGCAGCCAUGCCGCGUGUGGGAAGAAGGCCUUCGGGUUGUAAAGCACUUUCAGCGGGGAGGCGUUACCCGCAGAAGAAGCACCGGCUAACUCCGUGCCAGCAGCCGCGGUAAUUC